This 253-nucleotide ribosomal RNA is filed under the name uncultured bacterium. RNAcentral describes it as "partial 16S ribosomal RNA". It matches the Rfam family "Bacterial small subunit ribosomal RNA", at positions 524 to 776 of the family's 1533-position model. The record is from RNAcentral.
UACGUAGGUGGCAAGCGUUGUCCGGAAUUAUUGGGCGUAAAGCGCGCGCAGGCGGUCCUUUAAGUCUGAUGUGAAAGCCCACGGCUCAACCGUGGAGGGUCAUUGGAAACUGGGGAACUUGAGUGCAGAAGAGAAAAGCGGAAUUCCACGUGUAGCGGUGAAAUGCGUAGAGAUGUGGAGGAACACCAGUGGCGAAGGCGACUAUCUGGUCUGUAACUGACACUGAGGCGCGAAAGCGUGGGGAGCAAACAGG